Molecule: ribosomal RNA, 494 nt
Filed under: uncultured bacterium
Lineage: Bacteria
Description: partial 16S ribosomal RNA
Rfam family: Bacterial small subunit ribosomal RNA
Source: RNAcentral
GACGAACGCUGGCGGCGUGCUUAACACAUGCAAGUCGAACGGUGAAGCGCCUUCCUUUUUGGUGGGUGUGGAUGAGUGGCGAACGGGUGAGUAACACGUGAGUAACUUGCCCCCUUCUUCUGGAUAACCGCAUGAAAGUGUGGCUAAUACGGGAUAUUCUGGGUCUGUCGCAUGAUGGGUCUGGGAAAGAUAUUGUUUCGGUGGGGGAUGGGCUCGCGGCCUAUCAGCUUGUUGGUGGGGUGAUGGCCUACCAAGGCGGUGACGGGUAGCCGGCCUGAGAGGGUGGCCGGCCACACUGGGACUGAGCCGCCGCCCCGACUCCUACGGGGGGCAGCAGUGGAGAAUAUUGCACAGUGGGCGCAAUCCUGAUGCAGCGACGCCGCGUGAGGGAUGGAGGCCUUCGGGUUGUGAACCUCUUUCGCCAGUGAAGCGGGCCUGCCUCGUUUGUGGGUGGGUUGACGGUAGCUGGAUAAGAAGCGCCGGCUAACUACGUG